GCCAGGCCACAACAAUGGCCACCGCCAAUGUCCCAGUCCCUGGAGAGGUCUCACCUCUCACGAGAUGCACUCAGGGCCUAUCAGCGUGUAGGGAUAUAAUGAAAAGACGAGAAGAUGGCUGUCUGCAAACCAGGAGGGAGUCCUCACCUGACACCAGAUCUUUCAGCACCUUGAUAUUGGACUUCUAGCCUCCAGAACGGUUGGGCAGCUCACUGGAUCUCCUCCUCCUUUCUGAUUCACUCCACGUCAAGACCUUAGGAUUUGCAAUUCAAGAGUUAUAUGGCCAGGAAGCUGCCAGUACAGACUUAUUGGUUGGAUGAUGUAAUAAAUGGGCUAAAUGGGGUGAAACUCUACUUCUCCAAUCACCUUUUUAACCAAAAUAAUUUUUCAAAAUGAACCUUAUUAUACACAUAUGAACAAAAAAAAACAAAACUAAUGGUAAAGAAUACUACUUGGGAGGAAGUCAAGAUGGCGGUGUAGGCAGACUCUGAACUCAUCUCAUCCCGCGGACACAGCCAAUUUACAACUACUCAUGGAAAAAUUACCCCUGAGAAAGAAUUGAAAACUGGAUAAGAGGAACUCCUACAACAACGGACAAUCCUGAUUGAGGUGGAAGAGGCAGAGACUCCCUGCUGGAGAGGAAAAAUGCCGCCUUCACAAGCCACAGCGCCUCACGGCCGCCCGGGAGCAACCCACAGGUACGCAGCCCUCCCUGGAGGCGCGGGGCCCUGAGACGGGGAGCGCCUCCAGGGCAUUUUGUGGACCCAGCACAAUCGAGACGAGUGGCAGAAUAUCUGACUUUGCCUGCUACUAAAACAUUGGGGAGUACCAACCAGAAAAGAUGGUUCACAAAGAAAUUAAAACCAGCUCUUAAAGGGCCCACGCGCAAACUCACCCAUUUCAGAAAGAAACCUAAAAUCACCAGAAAGAAAGGUGCACAGUACUUUGGUGAAAGGAGACUCACCAGAUAGGCCCUGUGUGCAUCUCGGUGAGAGGUCAGACCUCUCCAGGGAC
Diceros bicornis minor is the source of this 1014-nucleotide long non-coding RNA. RefSeq lists it as uncharacterized. The record is from RefSeq and is a predicted model, not a curated record. The transcript has 4 exons. Lineage: Eukaryota; Metazoa; Chordata; Mammalia; Perissodactyla; Rhinocerotidae.